UACGGGGGGGGUAAGCGUUGUUCGGAAUUACUGGGCGUAAAGGGCUCGUAGGCGGCCAACUAAGUCAUACGUGAAAUCCCUCAGCUUAACUGGGGAACUGCGUGUGAUACUGGAUGGCUUGGAUUUGGGAGAGGGAUGCGGAAUUCCAGGUGUAGCGGUGAAAUGCGUAGAUAUCUGGAGGAACACCGGUGGCGAAGGCGGCAUCCUGGACCGGUGCUGACGCUGAGGAGCGAAAGCGUGGGGAGCGAUCCGG
This 253-nucleotide ribosomal RNA is filed under the name uncultured bacterium. RNAcentral's name for it is "partial 16S ribosomal RNA". It matches the Rfam family "Bacterial small subunit ribosomal RNA", at positions 524 to 776 of the family's 1533-position model. The record is from RNAcentral.